UUGCUUCCUCAGCAAAUAGACUAAAAUUUGAAUGCUGCAGAGAAGAUUAUCAUGGCCCCUGCACAAGGAUGACAAGCAAAUUUGAGAAGCAUUCCAUACUUUU
This 103-nucleotide small nuclear RNA is filed under the name Phascolarctos cinereus (koala). The record is from RNAcentral. Lineage: Eukaryota; Metazoa; Chordata; Mammalia; Diprotodontia; Phascolarctidae.